Molecule: non-coding RNA, 254 nt
Filed under: Paenibacillus sp.
Lineage: Bacteria; Bacillati; Bacillota; Bacilli; Caryophanales; Paenibacillaceae
Also listed under: 1 other name
Source: RNAcentral
CAAAAUAUAGUGUGAACGGGUGAUCCGGCGGACAAGCCGCCGGAGCUUAAAAGGGAAGUGCGGUGCAAGUCCGCUGCGGUCCCGCCACUGUAAUCGGUAGCUUGGUACUAAAGACGAGGCGUUCGCCUACAUCGUCUUGAAGACCCAGCCGUUCGACUGACGAUAUGCCACUACAGCUUAAUGCUUGAUGAGCUGCGGGAAGGCGUCAGCAACGUUCCGAAAGCCAGGAGACCUGCCCGUUUGAAAGACACCGA